Molecule: long non-coding RNA, 1071 nt
Filed under: Lupinus angustifolius (narrow-leaved blue lupine)
Lineage: Eukaryota; Viridiplantae; Streptophyta; Magnoliopsida; Fabales; Fabaceae
Description: long non-coding RNA (LANG_LNC003439)
Source: RNAcentral
CAAAUUCCCCGCGCUUUUAACUCAUUCUUCAUCUCUACUUCGAAUGAAUGAAAAUGAAAAUGAAAAUGAACAAAACCUGCGAUCUCUCCUCCAUCUCCGUUUUCCCUCCCCCUAUCACUAAUUCUAGGUUCAUUUCUUCAUUCUCAUUCUCUCUCUCUUUUUUCUUCACUCGUUUUCACGCUUUUUCGUCUUCUAUGCUUUACUUCUAUCCAUUGUUGUUGUUGAUUUGUUUGAAUCAAAUCGAGAUAUUAUAUGCAUCAUUUAAUUCAUUUUAAUAUAAGAGUGUAAUGUUUAUUCACUGUCACCGAUUGAUUUAUACACAGUCAUUAUGUCAUCUGUUAUUCCUUUGUAUUGCUAUUUUUGGAAAAGUUAAUGAUGAGUAAAUCUGAAUAAUGGAUUAUAAAGUGAUAGUAUAUAAAAUUAUUCAGUGAUACAUUUUUUUUUCUUUUAUUAUAAUUAUGACGUAUAUGGCAUUAUGUUUUACUUUGUUUAUUUGAUUGUUUUGUUUUUAAGAAAUCUGAGAAGAUUAAAUUGUAAUUUUCAAUUUUAUUCAGUUACUUAUGCGUUCGAUUCACGAUGAUUUUGUUUCAUGAAUUUAUCUUUUAUGCGAUAGUUCUAAUCUUUCACGUCUAUGUAACUGUCUCGAUCCAAAGUUAACUGUACUCAAUUCAUGCACAUUAUGCCUUAACUCAAUAUUAGAUCUUCGAUUCCAUGAUUUGUCUCAAUGUUAUUUAUUAACGCUGAAAGGAAACGAAAUUUUCAUGCUAUUUGGUUCCAAUUUGAGUUUUAUGUUUAAUAGAUUUGAAUCAAUAUAAAUAACACCUGGAACCUUGUUACAUUAACAAAUAGUAGUGUUCAUAAUUUUUUUUUAUGUUUGUUGUGUGAUGAAAAAAUUGAAGGAGGCAAAAUAAUGUACCAAAUGGAUUGCCAGCACCACAGCAUCGGUCACAAACAUCUCAACAGUCAUUUUCUCAAACAUCACAGCAGCAUCGAUCGCAGCCGUCUCAGCAGUCAUUCUCUCAGCCGCAUUCAUCUCAACACGGAGUGUUUUCUCAUUUCUCCCAAAGCUCU